GAUGAACGCUGGCGGCGUGCCUAAUACAUGCAAGUCGAGCGAACGGACGAGAAGCUUGCUUUUCUGAUGUUAGCGGCGGACGGGUGAGUAACACGUGGAUAACCUACCUAUAAGACUGGGAUAACUUCGGGAAACCGGAGCUAAUACCGGAUAAUAUUUUGAACCGCAUGGUUCAAAAGUGAAAGACGGUCUUGCUGUCACUUAUAGAUGGAUCCGCGCUGCAUUAGCUAGUUGGUAAGGUAACGGCUUACCAAGGCAACGAUGCAUAGCCGACCUGAGAGGGUGAUCGGCCACCCUGGAACUGGGACAUGGUCCAGACUCCUACGGGAGGCAGCAGUAGGGAAUCUUCCGCAAUGGGCGAAAGCCUGACGGAGCAACGCCGCGUGAGUGAUGAAGGUCUUCGGAUCGUAAAACUCUGUUAUUAGGGAAGAACAUAUGUGUAAGUAACUGUGCACAUCUUGACGGUACCUAAUCAGAAAGCCACGGCUAACUACGUG
This 497-nucleotide ribosomal RNA is filed under the name uncultured bacterium. RNAcentral's name for it is "partial 16S ribosomal RNA". It matches the Rfam family "Bacterial small subunit ribosomal RNA", at positions 28 to 507 of the family's 1533-position model. The record is from RNAcentral.